RNAcentral lists this ribosomal RNA (845 nucleotides) under uncultured bacterium. RNAcentral describes it as "bacterial SSU rRNA". It matches the Rfam family "Bacterial small subunit ribosomal RNA", at positions 616 to 1462 of the family's 1533-position model. The record is from RNAcentral.
GGGAACUGCGUUCUGAACUGGGUGACUAGAGUGUGUCAGAGGGAGGUAGAAUUCCACGUGUAGCAGUGAAAUGCGUAGAGAUGUGGAGGAAUACCGAUGGCGAAGGCAGCCUCNUGGGAUAACACUGACGUUCAUGCCCGAAAGCGUGGGUAGCAAACAGGAUUAGAUACCNUGGUAGUCCACGCCCUAAACGAUGUCGAUUAGCUGUUGGGCAGCAUGACUGCUUAGUAGCGAAGCUAACGCGUGAAAUCGACCGCCUGGGGAGUACGGUCGCAAGAUUAAAACUCAAAGGAAUUGACGGGGACCCGCACAAGCGGUGGAUGAUGUGGAUUAAUUCGAUGCAACGCGAAGAACCUUACCUGGUCUUGACAUGUGCGGAACCCUCCAGAGACGGAGGGGUGCCUUCGGGAGCCGUAACACAGGUGCUGCAUGGCUGUCGUCAGCUCGUGUCGUGAGAUGUUGGGUUAAGUCCCGCAACGAGCGCAACCCUUGUCAUUAGUUGCCAUCAUUAAGUUGGGCACUCUAAUGAGACUGCCGGUGACAAGCCGGAGGAAGGUGGGGAUGACGUCAAGUCCUCAUGGCCCUUAUGACCAGGGCUUCACACGUCAUACAAUGGUCGGUACAGAGGGUAGCCAAGCCGCGAGGUGGAGCCAAUCUCACAAAACCGAUCGUAGUCCGGAUUGCACUCUGCAACUCGAGUGCAUGAAGUCGGAAUCGCUAGUAAUCGCAGGUCAGCAUACUGCGGUGAAUACGUUCCCGGGUCUUGUACACACCGCCCGUCACACCAUGGGAGUGGGGGAUACCAGAAGUAGGUAGGGUAACCGCAAGGAGCCCGCUUACCACGG